This 468-nucleotide ribosomal RNA is filed under the name uncultured bacterium. Its description in RNAcentral is "partial 16S ribosomal RNA". It matches the Rfam family "Bacterial small subunit ribosomal RNA", at positions 28 to 507 of the family's 1533-position model. The record is from RNAcentral.
GACGAACGCUGGCGGCGUGCUUAACACAUGCAAGUCGAACGGAAAGGCCCUGCUUUUGUGGGGUGCUCGAGUGGCGAACGGGUGAGUAACACGUGAGUAACCUGCCCUUGACUUUGGGAUAACUUCAGGAAACUGGGGCUAAUACCGGAUAGGAGCUCCUGCUGCAUGGUGGGGGUUGGAAAGUUUCGGCGGUUGGGGUUGGACUCGCGGCUUAUCAGCUUGUUGGUGGGGUAGUGGCUUACCAAGGCUUUGACGGGUAGCCGGCCUGAGAGGGUGACCGGCCACAUGGGGACUGAGAUACGGCCCAGACUCCUACGGGGGGCAGCAGUGGGGAAUAUUGCACAAUGGGCGGAAGCCUGAUGCGGCAACGCCGCGUGCGGGAUGACGGCCUUCGGGUUGUAAACCGCUUUCGCCUGUGACGAAGCGUGAGUGACGGUAAUGGGUAAAGAAGCACCGGCUAACUACGUG